GCCGCAGAACUCAGAACCCACGGCAGACUGGAUAUCUGUAAGUGCGGGUUCGAGUCCCGCCUGAGGUU
This 68-nucleotide transfer RNA is filed under the name Dictyocaulus viviparus (bovine lungworm). It matches the Rfam family "tRNA". From Rfam's summary of the family: Transfer RNA (tRNA) molecules are approximately 80 nucleotides in length. The record is from Rfam by way of RNAcentral. Lineage: Eukaryota; Metazoa; Nematoda; Chromadorea; Rhabditida; Metastrongylidae.